UCCAUGAAAUCAUCAGCAUUGUUACUUUGUACAAUUACUAAGCCAAUACAUUUGAACAUUACCAUGUAACCAUGUUUUAACCAUGUAAAGUGUUAACACAUGAAUUCAUAAAUUGAACACAUUCAUAGAUCAAACAAUACAAUCAAUAAAUAAAUGUAACCAGUAAUUAAUAUGUUUUAUUCUUUUAAUUGACAAAGUGUUUUAUCAUUAGAUGGGUAUAGUUAAAUAAUGAUUUUAUCAAUUAUAUUUAUAGAUACUCUUAUGAUCAGGGUUCGAAAUGAGGGGGGUCUGGGGGGGUCCCGGACCCUCCAUAAGUCAUUAGGGACCCCCCAUAAGAAUUCAUUUUUGAAUUUUUGUCCCUGACAAAUAUAUUUUAACAUUAAAAAUGAUUGUGAAAAUUAUAGGUUUUAGUGACGUUUUGUAUUUAUAACAGUAAUUAAUUUAUUUCCUAGCGCGAGGCAGCAAUCAGGGCAGCUAUUAGCUCUAGCUAUUAGCUUAGUUCUUAUACAGCGUCACAGAUUGUUGUUGUGGUGCUCCCGCAGACACGUACUAGAUAAACGCGGCAAAACGAGACAUCACAAAGAGUGAAAUCCUGAAUGAAAAUCCUAAUCCUGCACAUGGAGAGAAAAAGAGGGAAAAGAAAGAUCACCGACUUUUUUCAAGGACUGACUUGUCUGUCGGCGCACAGAGCCACGCAGUCGCAGACAGCACGUGAAGUUGGUGAACGCCGAAUCGUGUUGAGGAGGAAGAUGAUGGAGAGCUGUGAGAGAAGAGGAAGAGGGUCUUUCUCAGGUUCUUCUGAGGCAAGGAUAGGAGGAUGGUCUCUAUAUAUUCACUUUGGAUUUUUACAAACUGGAAG
Long non-coding RNA from Megalobrama amblycephala (Wuchang bream), 859 nucleotides. RefSeq lists it as uncharacterized. The record is from RefSeq and is a predicted model, not a curated record. NCBI's taxonomy places the organism in Eukaryota, Metazoa, Chordata, Actinopteri, Cypriniformes, Xenocyprididae. The transcript is spliced from 4 exons.